GGACAAUGAACUGCUCUCUGAAACAAAGGGGCAAGAACUACUCGUCCCUUUCACUCCAGUAAGAGGAGGCACAGGGAGCAAUGGUGCAGUAAGGACUCCAGCCCCUGCCUGCUGAUGCAUACCUUGGGCAAGUUAGGAUGUUCAGCAGAAACCUCAGAAAUUGAAGAGGAAGAUCUCUGAUCUGCGUUCUCUGAGAGGAGAAUUGAACACACAUCUUCCAAAGGCAGAGGACCAGAUGCAUGAGCGCAAUUGGAGCUCUUGGAUCAAUAAAUCCUUUCAGACUAGGACAAUUGCCCUGUGAAAUAACGAAUUCUUGAAGGGAGAAGAGGGACAGACUUCCUCCUCACUAAGGAACUGGCACUGCAAGAUGAAGCAUGGCUGUCUGAAGACCUGGCAUCUGUGCUGACUCUCAUAGGUACCACACUGGAAGAAUUGGAGAAGAAAACCCAGUGGCAGAGGAGAAAGAAACACCCCUGGCACCACCUUAUACAAGAGGAACAUGGAAGACCUGGGUUUCAAAGAAGCCCUCUGCUGCUUGUGGGAUUCAGGAGCAAAGUACAUUAUUCAACUGGAAAAUGUGACAACCUAAUCAUCCUGAAGGUGGAUGAUUCCUGUGAAUGUGAGCAGGAUUUGGCUCUGGUUAUGGACAAGUGAAGAGGACACCAAAGCAUAAAAUGGAAGCUUAGAAUGACAGAGGAGCUCCUAACCCUGGGGAGCCCAUUUAAGCCAGCCAGCAUGGUUCAGACAAAGCACUAAGAGGGGACACGGUCCCUUUCUGAAAAGAAAGAAAGGAAAUUUCCCCUAAAAGAAAAAUCCAUAAUCAGGAUGACCAUCAAUAGAGAAGAUUCCCUGUUGGUGAGGUACCUUCUUUCGACUGAGAAAAUUCCCCACAUUUGUUGAUUCUGAUCCAGCUGGCCUGACUUGGAUUUGUAACCACCAGAUGCAUUGCAAGCA
RNAcentral lists this long non-coding RNA (954 nucleotides) under Ficedula albicollis (Collared flycatcher). Its description in RNAcentral is "lncRNA (ENSFALG00000026591.1)". Lineage: Eukaryota; Metazoa; Chordata; Aves; Passeriformes; Muscicapidae. The record is from RNAcentral.